UCCUGGAAUGAUUUGGUUUGGCCUCCGAUGUGGUUGGUGUUGAGAUUUGCUUGCUCGAGUCCAGUGCAAGUACUAGUUCUAUCAUUAGUAGAAAAAUAAGAACUAACGAUGUAGUCAAAAGACUUGUGCCUUUUAUUCAUAAUAAAAAAGUUCAAUAUGACCUGAAUACAAACUGGUAUAUUACAAGGUUCGAAACACUAAUAAACUAGUAAUGCUUAGAAUCGACAAGAAACAAAUGAACUUUAAUUUUGUUCGGCGCCAUAUUUUUGCCAUAUGUGCUCUAUCAAAUCUUCCUUGAGCCGACGAUGGGUCUGUCGAUCUCGAAUCUCACUAUUUUUCUCUAGUACAUCUGCAAAUCUAUAGAUAGGUCCGUGGUGAAGUCCUGCAGUUUGCGGGGAAAAUGGCCCUUGUUCAUACGUGCUUGUCAAUAUUCUAUCAGCUAUCUUUUGGAGUUUAGUCUGGCUACAAUAUUUGUGAACACAUAAAACUUAUCGAUAUUCCAUUAGUACAAGCAGACAAUUACAUUAAGCUUUAACCAUAAACUAAGCAUACAUUAAGCAUUAACCAUACAAAGAGUACAUUAACCAUACAUAGCUAACUUCUUUAGAUAACUUCUUUACUGGUCUUCGAGUUCUUAGAUAAUUUGAGCACCGCAACCUCAUGUCUCUUCAGCUUUUCUGGACGCCAACCACUUUUUCAUCCUUGUUUCUUCCCGUUUUGCUUUGGCCGAUUCUACUUGUGCUUCUGCUGAUUUCAAUAAUGCUUCAGCUCUAAUCUUGAUAGUUUCAUUGUACAACACUAUAUUUUGAGAUGUCAGGUUCCCCAAUGGAGAAGAUGAAGUGCCUUUUCCUUUGCCUUUUAGCCUUUCUUUUGCUUUCUUCUGUCCCUCAAGCAGGAUAGCAUCCAGGUCGCCCAAUAUUCUACCCGUCAGAGGGUACAAUUUUCAAUAGCUGUGAAGAGGCGAGAGAUUUUUUUUAAUCUUUAUUCAUGAGAAAUUGGUUUUGGUGUUCGCUACGGACAAAGUAACAAGAACAACAAGGGUUAUAGGACAAGGCAAGAUAUUGUUUGCUCAUGUGAGGGCUCAUCACGGAUCAGCAAUUGUGCUUCUGUAAGGACUGGGUGUAAAGUGAUGAUAAGGUUGCUUAGAACUAGUGUGAUCAUGGAUGGUAUAUUAGCCGAGUGAACACAAGCCACAACCACAAAUUAUCCGAGGGGUAUGCAGAGAAGAAACAAUGGAAUUCUCACAGAAUGAUAGAUGCAACCACCAAGUACUAUCAAGAAACAAAGAGACAACAAUGUGCUGUUGCAUUUGGACAGGCAAGAAAUACCAAAGUUUAAUAUAAUGCAAAGAUGGACAAAGGAGGCAAUUGUAUAUAAUAUAAAUCACAGGCACAUGACAGUGAUAUAGGAUCAGAUGCAGAUCAAAUGAGAAAGAAGGCUUUGCUGAUGAUGCAGACUCUUCAGUUAGUCCAUGGACCUACUGCUGUUGACGAGCAGAUGUUCAGGAAUGCUAUGGAAGCUUUAAGGGCUCUUCCUGCAGUGCAGUGCACCGAUGGAGUAAUUGUUCAAUCUGGCAUGAGUAGCAUGGACAUUGAGCAUGAGCAGCUCCCUGUUUCUUGUCCUGAAAGGAUAAUGAAAGGUGGCCGGCCACUUAGUACUGGACUUAAGGCGUGGCUAUCAAGGAACGAUAAGAAAAGGAUCUCAGAAUGUUCAUCAAGGGAUCCAUUAGCUGAAGACUGGCCUGAGGAAGAGAGGCCUGAUAGGAAGAAGAC
Long non-coding RNA from Panicum virgatum (switchgrass), 1772 nucleotides. RefSeq lists it as uncharacterized. The transcript has 3 exons. NCBI's taxonomy places the organism in Eukaryota, Viridiplantae, Streptophyta, Magnoliopsida, Poales, Poaceae. The record is from RefSeq and is a predicted model, not a curated record.